Small nucleolar RNA from Jaculus jaculus (lesser Egyptian jerboa), 76 nucleotides. The record is from RefSeq and is a predicted model, not a curated record. Lineage: Eukaryota; Metazoa; Chordata; Mammalia; Rodentia; Dipodidae.
AUCAUUACAUGAUGGAUCAAAUCAAAUCACCACCUUUUGGCUGAGCUACUAACGUAUUUUUUUUCUGAUAAAAAAU